GGGGCUGAUUCGGAUUCGACAGGAUUCAAUGAUGCUUUAGGUGCAUGCAGAGGUGCGGCUGGCCUCUUUAAUAAGCCGCAAAAAAAUAGUCGCAAACGACGAAAA
Molecule: transfer-messenger RNA, 105 nt
Filed under: Glaciecola sp.
Lineage: Bacteria; Pseudomonadati; Pseudomonadota; Gammaproteobacteria; Alteromonadales; Alteromonadaceae
Description: partial transfer-messenger RNA
Rfam family: transfer-messenger RNA
About the family: Bacterial tmRNA, also known as 10Sa RNA or SsrA, is named for its dual tRNA and mRNA-like properties.
Source: RNAcentral